Daktulosphaira vitifoliae (grape phylloxera) is the source of this 2276-nucleotide long non-coding RNA. RefSeq lists it as uncharacterized. The transcript is spliced from 3 exons. NCBI's taxonomy places the organism in Eukaryota, Metazoa, Arthropoda, Insecta, Hemiptera, Phylloxeridae. The record is from RefSeq and is a predicted model, not a curated record.
AUUUAUUUAUAUUAUUACAAUAAAUUGCAAACAAUCGUGGAACUUAAAGGUUCAUCGAACAAUACCUAGAAGGUCGUAUACCUAAUAGAACAAUAGAAUCCGUUUGAUGAACAUUUAUGUUCGUGGAAAUGUAGAAUUUUGACCAUAUACCUAAUAAAACAAUAGAAUCCGUUGAUUUCGACGAUUCAAAAGUAGGCCCUCUACUUGACAAAUCAGGAAACGAGGAUUACAUGCAAACAUAACCUAUAUUGACAACAUGAAAUCAAUCAAGGAUUGCUGUAGAAGCGUAAUUUAAAUUAAUUCAGUUGAGAAAUCCCGAAAAAUUAUAAAAACAUGUUAAUAGAAGUCCUCAUCUACAUGCAUAAUUUUUUCAGAGUGCUGCAAGGAGCCCAAUGAACUCGUACUUAAAAUUCCUUAAAACAAUAAAUAAAAAAUUGCUAUUAAAAUUACUAUCAAUUAGAAGAACUUGUGUUACAUACUUUUAUUUUCUUGUGCUGUAGAACUAGUCUGGUUGACCUGACUAGUAGUUACAUUGUUAAUAAAAUUAGAAGGCCAACAUUUUGGCAUAGGAUACAACAUCUUGUGUUGGGUUUUUCGGUCAGUUGUACAGCAUCGAAUCUAAAUAUUUUCAAGAAUGAUUUAUGCAUGUAAUUUAUAAAUAAGAAGAUUACUAUAAAAUAAAAAGUGGACCUUGUAUAGUUACUCUAUAACCAAAAAAAUGGAGUUAUAUCAAACAAGUCAUAGAGGACUUGAAUUGAUUGCUUAUUCAUGGAGGACUACUUAAAAAAAUAUUUAAUAAGAUAUUGGUUGCAAAAUUUUGGUUAAAGACUUCCUGUAGGUAAACCCUAUGACAUUGGAAAGAUUUUAAAAGAUUGCAAGGAUGGACUUAAGCAGAUGUUAUGUUCAAGCUUUAAGGGUUAAUAGCCUAUGUAUGAUCAUAAUAUACGUAUAAUUUUAUAAUUAAAUUAUUAAACAUUAUACUUAUUAUAAAGUAUAUCAGGUCAAUCUAUACAUGUAUACAAGAAAAAUAUACUUAAAAGCAUUUACCUCGCCAUUUUUUGUCCAAUAAGAAUACCUAGAUUUUGCUUUCUUAAUAAUAUUAAAAUCAUCCAUAUUUUCUAUUUUAAUAUUUUUAAUAAUUUCUUGAAAAUUUGAAUGUUGCGGACACCACCAUUCAGAGCAGAUUUUCUGGUGAAGAACCAAUAAUAUUUUAAAUAAGUCCUAGAUGUUUUAAUAGUCAGCUUAUUAAAAUUAGCAAAUACCUGCUCCUCUAUUUUUGCUACAACCUUAGCUUCCAAGUUUCUCAACUUUUCAGCUACCGUUUGAUUGAUUAGUAGUACCGAUUCAGAAAUUACGUGACCAGAGCCAGCCUUUUUUAAAGAUUCCUAAAGUAUUUCAAUUUUUUUUAAGUUAUAUUGUAACAUGAACUCGAGUUUACUUUUUUAUUUUAGUAAUAUCACAUAAAAACUGUACUUGCCCUCAAUCUAUCUUGCUCCUCGACACAUUCUCUAUGAAGCCUAUUAUUGGCGCUUUUAAGUUCAAUGAGUUUAUUUUUUAAGUCAAUCUAUGAAAAAUAAAGUAAAAUUGUUUUAAUGUAUCAUAAAAUAGUUUAAUUUGUUGUUUAAAAGAGUCAUUAGAAUAGUACUAACUAUUAGAUUCAAAGGGCAAGGGUCAAAACAUAUUAUUUAACCCACCUUUUGUCUAUACAUUAGAACAUGUAUAAUUUCAUGCAAGAAAUAAAAAUGUUUUAAAAAUCUAAAUUAAUUUUUAAAUAUUUUUUUUUAAAUCUAGUUUGUAAAAUUCUGAUGACUUAGUAAAUUCAUAUUCUUUCUUAUUGUACCCUUAUGCAACUUAGCAUGUAUAAAAAUUAAUUCCAUUAAAUCAACCAAUACUACUUUAUAAUAAAAUUUAAGAAAAAAACUUACAUUUUCUUCCUGUACAAUACUUUUUUCUUCUGUAAUGAUUUCUACAUCAUUACAAAUAGUAUUAAUUUUUUGUUCCAAAAGCUUAAUUUUCUGUGAGAUAUUAUAAAAUAGAACAAUAAGUGUGAAAAAAAUAUAUAUAUUUUUUAAUAUAAUACCAUACAUACUUGUUUUAGUUGAUGAUUUUCUCUAACGAAUGACUCAGAUGUCUCUGCCACAUGUUUAUAGUACUCUAACUCAGUACCUUUAAAAGAGGGAUCAGCAAUUAAAUAUGCCUCGUACAUACUUAGAGUCUCACUCAUUUUAGUAAUUUUUAAUAAAAUAUUAAAAAUUAAAAUAAAAUAUUAAAAAUUA